Small nucleolar RNA from Physeter macrocephalus (sperm whale), 118 nucleotides. NCBI's taxonomy places the organism in Eukaryota, Metazoa, Chordata, Mammalia, Artiodactyla, Physeteridae. The record is from Ensembl.
UUACCUGUUUCUGAGAGAAUCAAAAGGAUUCAGGCUAACACAGAAGGGUAAAGUAAGUCUCUUUAAAACUCAGAAAAGAUUGUAAAACUCCUCUUGAAUCCUAUCUGGAGUCACAGCU